RNAcentral lists this ribosomal RNA (253 nucleotides) under uncultured bacterium. RNAcentral describes it as "partial 16S ribosomal RNA". It matches the Rfam family "Bacterial small subunit ribosomal RNA", at positions 524 to 776 of the family's 1533-position model. The record is from RNAcentral.
UACAGAGGGCUCAAGCGUUGUUCGGAUUCAUUGGGCGUAAAGGGUGCGUAGGCGGCGCGGUAAGUCGGAUGUGAAAUCUCGGAGCUUAACUUCGAAACUGCAUUCGAUACUGCCGUGCUUGAGGACUGGAGAGGAGACUGGAAUUUACGGUGUAGCGGUGAAAUGCGUAGAUAUCGUAAGGAAGACCAGUGGCGAAGGCGGGUCUCUGGACAGUUCCUGACGCUGAGGCACGAAGGUCAGGGGAGCAAACGGG